Long non-coding RNA from Cygnus atratus (black swan), 1785 nucleotides. RefSeq lists it as uncharacterized. The transcript has 2 exons. The record is from RefSeq and is a predicted model, not a curated record. NCBI's taxonomy places the organism in Eukaryota, Metazoa, Chordata, Aves, Anseriformes, Anatidae.
CACAGAGAGAAACCAUGGGACCAUCGGAAAGGGGUUCCGCUGCGCAGAAGUGCUUGAAACGAGUGCAGUUACAUUAAACGUAGGAGAAAAGAAGAAAGGUACGUGACAAUCCGAUUCAAGGCUCCAGGAAGCAUGCCACACAAAUGACUGUUGAGCUGUGCAAUGACUCAGCAGGAAAAAAAAAAAGAGAGAGAGAAAAAGAAAAAGGAAAGAACGAAAAACUACAGCAGCAGAUUGGACAGUCUUUCCUAUAAGAAAUAACAUCUAUCGUGGAAAACUAAGCAAAUAAAGAAAUAGGAACAAGAAGAGCUCCCGCCUGGAAUUCCACCUCGCUGCCUCCCUCCUCAGCCUCGCCCGCUGCACACCUGAGGCAGCCGGCAGGGAUCGGGCUGCCCUUAACCCCUGCUGUGCCUCCGCCUCGGGAGGCCGGUACCGCGCCUCUACACAGGCUGCUUUGCUUUGUGAGCAGUACGGUAGGAAGCUAAAGCCUGGCAGUAAGUCAGAGAAGCAUGAAGCUGAAAGAAGACGCGAGCCUGGGGAAGCUGGCACAACCCCAAAAGGAACUGGGGUGGUGCAAGACAGGAGAUGGUCACCCCCUGCCCCGCGCCUGCCGAGCCAGCGAGGACGGACAGGACAGCCACGACAGGAUGCUUCUGCACCUCCUCGGUCGUCCUCCUGAGAAACUGGCAUGAAAUGUAAGCUCCCGUUCUACUUGCGUAACUUUACAGGACAGCUCUCCCGUGUCUGCUGAGGCUGAACAGCUCUCACGUUAUCUCCCUGAAAGGGAGAGAUUAAAUGUUACCUGUUAAACACACGUGGCACAGGCCAAGCAGACAGAUGAGGAGAGUCAGGGUAUGCAGAUUGCGCUGCUCAGUUUGAACAGCCUUGCACUCAUUCUCUCCUUUGCAAAGCUUUAUGCAAAUAGCUUUUCAAGAACAUUUAAUCCUCCACCCUCCUGAAUUGCCACUGAAGCCUUCGUGUCCCUUCAGUUCGGAAGCUGCCUGCAGGAGACACUCCCGGCACUAAGUCCGGCAGCCUCGAGCCACACGCUGAAGGGCAGCGAAACUUGAGCAGGUGCUGCCACGCUUUGCAAGGCUGGGGUAGAAAAAUGCAGACGGAUCAGCACAGGCAAACAUUGGUAGCACAUUAGAAAAGACAGAUUUCGUACCAACAAAACACGUUUGCACCUGAAGCCUUCUGCUAGACCACACUAAUGCCAGGACAACUCUUCCCAUGUCAUCAAUCGCCGCAGACAUUUGCACAUAAAGCAAUGCUGAACCAACCUCUUGCUCAGGUUUCAGUGUUAUUUUCUACCAGCAUGCUGCCAUACACCUGCUAUUGUACUGAUAGCCGGUCAGGUUCAAUUAAUUUCUUUUAACCCACUCAAAAGUGCCUCUGUAGGUAAUGAAAAGUAUCAUUAAGCUCUUAAGUUUGUAAUAAUAGAAAAAUGUGUCAUUUGAUGUGCACGUUUCCUUUCUGUUUUAUCUGGGCUGUACCUAGCAUCAGCAAACAUCCAACAUUAAUGGGUGUUGUUUCUCUGAUCAGCUAACUUAAAGAGUGUUAGGAGGGCUGGGGAAGGGGAAUGCUUGGGCCAGGUUUGGGAAAGUAGCUUUGAGAGACAAGGCUCGAUAUCAGUAAGCAUAUGAAUAACAUAUUUAUGGAAUCAGCAAAAGCAGGUGUAUUCAAUCUAAUCAGAAGUUCAAUCUAUAUAUAUGCUAAUGCACCACAUAUUAAAUUCAUUGGCUUUACUUCCUUUGAAUUACUAAUAAAUACUUUUCCAAAGGG